AAAAUGACAAAAAAGUGAGGCUGUAGCCUUAACUUUACGUGAUAAAAGGGGCACAACAUUUUCGUCCAUUUUUAGCUACUUUUUUCAUUUUUGAAAAAGGGGGAAAAAAUGGUAAUAAAGUAAGGCUAUAGCCAUAACUCUUCGUCCAUAUUUAGCCACUUAUUCCAUUUUUGAAAAAGGGGCAAAAAUGACAAAAAAGUAAGGCUAAAUAGCCUUAACUUUUCGUCCAUUUUUAGCCACUUAUUUCAUUUUUGAAAAAGGGGCAAAAAUGACAAAGAAGUAAGGCUAUAGCCCUAACUUUUCGUCCAUUUUUAGGCUAUUUAGCCACUUUUUUCAUUGUUGAAUAAAGGGGCACAAAGAUAAGGCUAUAUAUAGCCUUAACUUUCGUCCAUUUUUAGCCACUUAUUUUUGAAAAAGGGGGAGAAAAAUGACAAAAAAUAAGGCUAUAGACUUAAUGUUUCGUCCAUUUUUAGCUACUUUUUCAUUCUUGAAAAAGGGGCAAAAAUAGCAAAAAAGUAAGGCCAUAGAUAGCGUAAAAGUAAGGCUAUAGCUUUAAGAGAGAAAGAAUUAAGUAGAAUAGAAAAGGAGUUACAGCAAGUGAAGGCGAGAUGGUCUAGUGGUAACGACUGAAGUGUUGCAGACUUACUUAUUUGACUUACUAAGUUGACUUGCUUACUAACUUGACUCCACUUACUAACUUGACUUGCUGACUUACUUCACUCUACUUACUUACUAACUUGACUUACUUUACUCUACUAAAGAGAAC
Molecule: non-coding RNA, 766 nt
Organism: Paramuricea clavata
Lineage: Eukaryota; Metazoa; Cnidaria; Anthozoa; Malacalcyonacea; Plexauridae
Source: the annotation of a GenBank genome assembly